Molecule: long non-coding RNA, 636 nt
Organism: Cucumis melo (muskmelon)
Lineage: Eukaryota; Viridiplantae; Streptophyta; Magnoliopsida; Cucurbitales; Cucurbitaceae
Exons: 5
Source: RefSeq, a predicted model, not a curated record
GAAAAAAAAAGGAAGGUCUUCUUCUUCGUGAAAGCGCCCUAAUAGCCCCCCUUCUCUAAAUUUCUCUUGCCAACCUUCCGAUCACACCGUAAUCUCUCUCUGUCUCUCCAUCGCUAAUGUAGACAACUACUGCAACUAAGCGCCGACCACCCAAACGCAUCGCCACCCGCUCUCAUCGCCCGGGAUCGAGUUGCUUGCCGAUUUGCGUGUCUUCUAUGCUGCAUUCACAACCAAAAUCAACAGUUGGGACCCUUACAUAUAUUGCUCCUGAGGUGUUGCUUAAGAAAGAGUAUGGUGGCAAGGUGAAAAAUUCGACAAAGCAAAAAAUGCAGGAGCAGAUUUGGUUGGAGGUGAGGAUUUGAUAGAACAGAUCAAAGAGGUUUCAAGGAGUUUGAUAAGUUGAUUGUUUCACUAGAUAUGAUGUCCAAGCUAAUUUUAGAACUUGGUUCCUAUAUUGAAGAGUUGAGCAAAACACAGGUGCUAUAAAGGAAUUUGUCAAUCCCAAAUUUUGCUAGAAUCCAUUGGAGCAAUGAAGUCACAUUUGCACAAUUGAUUGAUUUAUAGGUCUUUUUGUAGGUUUGGUAGCAAAAUUUUGGUUGAAAUGUACUUAUUUAAAUAGCUUGUUGGUAUCAAAAC